This 484-nucleotide ribosomal RNA is filed under the name uncultured bacterium. RNAcentral's name for it is "partial 16S ribosomal RNA". It matches the Rfam family "Bacterial small subunit ribosomal RNA", at positions 30 to 507 of the family's 1533-position model. The record is from RNAcentral.
AUUGAACGCUGGCGGCAGGCCUAACACAUGCAAGUCGAGCGGAUGAAGGGAGCUUGCUCCUGGAUUCAGCGGCGGACGGGUGUGUAAUGCCUAGGAAUCUGCCUGGUAGUGGGGGAUAACGUCCGGAAACGGGCGCUAAUACCGCAUACGUCCUGAGGGAGCAAGUGGGGGAUCUUCGGACCUCACGCUAUCAGAUGAGCCUAGGUCGGAUUAGCUAGUUGGUGGGGUAAAGGCCUACCAAGGCGACGAUCCGUAACUGGUCUGAGAGGAUGAUCAGUCACACUGGAACUGAGACACAGUCCAGACUCCUACGGGAGGCAGCAGUGGGGAAUAUUGGACAAUGGGCGAAAGCCUGAUCCAGCCAUGCCGCGUGUGUGAAGAAGGUCUUCGGAUUGUAAAGCACUUUAAGUUGGGAGGAAGGGCAGUAAGUUAAUACCUUGCUGUUUUGACGUUACCAACAGAAUAAGCACCGGCUAACUUCGUG